This is a non-coding RNA of Bursaphelenchus xylophilus (pine wood nematode), 47 nucleotides long. The record is from Rfam. Lineage: Eukaryota; Metazoa; Nematoda; Chromadorea; Rhabditida; Aphelenchoididae.
CAAACGGCCCUCUUUAGGGCCACAUAUUAUUUUACUUUGUUUUUUAU